This 1007-nucleotide ribosomal RNA is filed under the name Salmonella enterica. Its description in RNAcentral is "partial 23S ribosomal RNA". It matches the Rfam family "Bacterial large subunit ribosomal RNA", at positions 1200 to 2188 of the family's 2925-position model. The record is from RNAcentral. Lineage: Bacteria; Pseudomonadati; Pseudomonadota; Gammaproteobacteria; Enterobacterales; Enterobacteriaceae.
CUGCGGCAGCGACACUCAGGUGUUGUUGGGUAGGGGAGCGUUCUGUAAGCCUGCGAAGGUGGCCUGUGAGGGUUGCUGGAGGUAUCAGAAGUGCGAAUGCUGACAUAAGUAACGAUAAAGCGGGUGAAAAGCCCGCUCGCCGGAAGACCAAGGGUUCCUGUCCAACGUUAAUCGGGGCAGGGUGAGUCGACCCCUAAGGCGAGGCCGAAAGGCGUAGUCGAUGGGAAACGGGUUAAUAUUCCCGUACUUGGUGUUACUGCGAAGGGGGGACGGAGAAGGCUAUGUUGGCCGGGCGACGGUUGUCCCGGUUUAAGCGUGUAGGUGUGUGUUCCAGGUAAAUCCGGUUCACUUUAACACUGAGGCGUGACGACGAGGCACUACGGUGCUGAAGCAACAAAUGCCCUGCUUCCAGGAAAAGCCUCUAAGCAUCAGGUAACAUCAAAUCGUACCCCAAACCGACACAGGUGGUCAGGUAGAGAAUACCAAGGCGCUUGAGAGAACUCGGGUGAAGGAACUAGGCAAAAUGGUGCCGUAACUUCGGGAGAAGGCACGCUGACAUGUAGGUGAAGUGAUUUACUCAUGGAGCUGAAGUCAGUCGAAGAUACCAGCUGGCUGCAACUGUUUAUUAAAAACACAGCACUGUGCAAACACGAAAGUGGACGUAUACGGUGUGACGCCUGCCCGGUGCCGGAAGGUUAAUUGAUGGGGUCAGCGCAAGCGAAGCUCCUGAUCGAAGCCCCGGUAAACGGCGGCCGUAACUAUAACGGUCCUAAGGUAGCGAAAUUCCUUGUCGGGUAAGUUCCGACCUGCACGAAUGGCGUAAUGAUGGCCAGGCUGUCUCCACCCGAGACUCAGUGAAAUUGAACUCGCUGUGAAGAUGCAGUGUACCCGCGGCAAGACGGAAAGACCCCGUGAACCUUUACUAUAGCUUGACACUGAACAUUGAGCCUUGAUGUGUAGGAUAGGUGGGAGGCUUUGAAGUGUGGACGCCAGUCUGCAUGGAGCCG